Molecule: long non-coding RNA, 428 nt
Organism: Erigeron canadensis
Lineage: Eukaryota; Viridiplantae; Streptophyta; Magnoliopsida; Asterales; Asteraceae
Exons: 3
Source: RefSeq, a predicted model, not a curated record
UUGAAGUAAAAAUUAAAAAUGGUAAGAAGGUAACAAAAUUGUUGGUGAAAUUAGGGCUCGAAACAAAAUUAGGGCUCGAGAGGAACGGCACUAUGGUUGCUGCUGCUGCUGCUUCUUCUUGCUCUGGCGAACCUCACAGUUGUUGUGAUAAGCUAUUUUGCCCAAAUUCAAUGGAUUAGCUUCUUUUUGUGUUGGCUGAGUAGUUUGUUUCUCGUCAGGCAGGUUCUUUUUCUCGACGUUCUUCCUGCAAAUACUACAAUGAAUGAAUUCCAACUCUCACAUAUUCCAUUUUCAACAACACUACACUGUGUAGUCGAUAUCGGUCGGAUAUUGUUAUCGGCGUUCCUUCAGAAUAUCGGUGAUAUGUACCGAUAUUCCAACGAUAUGUUUUUUACCAAAUAUCAGUCUUAUUGCCGUUAUACCAGGUA